ACCGUUUCGUACCAGUCGGGACGAUGUGCAAGCAGUUUAUCGCGACCGACCAACGUGGCAAGACCUGUUCGAGACCGGAGGACACCGUCGAUGAUUCCGUAGUUAGGCCUGGCCAGCUGGUGGUGCACACAAUGCCCCUUUGUGUGAUUUGAUGCAACCGAAAUGCCCACUAAUCAGUGCAUCCCGUGGAGCAGUGAAUAAAUAAAUAAACAAAAUAGAAAAAAAAAUUAAACUAUCGAUCAGCGCGGUUCGUGCGGUGAACAAUCAGCCCGAAAGUUUAGAUUAGUGAUUGAACAACACUUCGUUUAUAACGGAAAUAAUUGGAAAAUAAUAGGAUUAGAGUAUAGGAUAUUUCAACCGUUAGAGUCCGGUUAGAUUGAACCUAGUUCCCCUUUAGUAGAGUGUAUCCGUCCCAGUGUUCCAUCGUGAAGAGGCUCACAGUGGUGCGUGCUCUCGUGUGCGUGUGCGUGUGUACAAAUUAGUUUUCUGUGUCCGAUUAUUUCUUGUAAAUCGAAUCCAAGCUUUGAAAGAGAAAGCAGACUUUAUUCUACGGUUCUAUAGAAGCUAUCCUCACAAGAAAAGCAAAGCUCACUUAAUUUUAGGAACGGUUGUGAUUGUUGGCAAUGUUCUAGUGAAAGUUCACUUAGUGUAAACAGAUGCUUCUUCCAGCUAGAGUUUAGUGUAGAUAUUCAGUGUUGUGUCUAGUGCACGUGAUAGUAAGUUAGUGUGAUAGCGACUUUGUACCUCCCACGAGAACGUGGCAGACAAUUUGUGAGUGUGUGCUUGAAUUUAAUUAAAAGGCCGACGCAACGAACGAAACAAAAUAAAAAAAAAAAUCUUCGCAAAAGUGCACCAUAAAUUAAGGCCCAGUGGAAAGGAAUCGAGUGUGAGAGUGUACUUACGGUUUCCUAGCUGGUGCGAAUUUUUUUUGUGUGUGUUUUUUCUUGCGAACCAAAAAGGGUCUAGUUUGCUACGCGCGCGGAAAAAGGUCGCAUGUUCUGCCUCAUUAUCACAUAAACCUUUUGACGCUCUCCAACGUCGACGACGACGACGACGACGUAGAAGCAGAACGAUUGAAGUCAAAACAGUUGGACAGGAAAGUUCGUUUCAUAUUUUUCCCUGCUUGCCUAAGUCACGCUCGUAACAGCACACUUGCUGUGACUUUUUCGCUCGUUACUUCUCCGUGAAGACAUGAAACUUAGAACCCACCAAGCACCAGAAGACUAUCUAAUCCGGUGAAACAUCACUGCUUGUAUAUACUUACUAGACUUCUGUGGACGAAAAAACACACCCUCCCGGAGCACCACUGCUGGUGUGAAUGAAUUCCAGCGACAUUCUGCUGGAACUUGACUUUCGCCUUCCACGUAACAGUCGCGCUCCAAAUGCAGCUCAAGUGAAAAAUAAAACAAACAAAGCAUCUCAAACACUGUAAGCACGUAAUAAUUCUCUACCCACCGAACAGAGAAAGAGAAAAAAAAAAUCACAGACAAAUUCCGAUUCCCACCUCGGCUAAAUCUCGUAACCCAACCCAACCCAAACCUGAAGUGGUAAGUGAAAAACUAUCAUCCCGGCAAACGCUACCAGAAAAGCUUCCGCCGGUUUUUUCUUCUCGCAACGGCAGCACCGCCAGACAGUCCGCAAGGGGACCCGCAAGGGGUUAACUUAGGAAGCGUGCGACAAGUGUGAAGCACGUGCCAGUAAGCAAGUAAGCUGCUGUCUCGUACUGCCAAAAUUCCGAAACCAACCGAAGAAACCAAGUCGUCGACGAAGAAGAAGAACAGAGGGAAAAUUUUUCCGUCCGGGAAACGGUAAAUUCCCGCGUUGAAAGCAAUCCGAGAGAGAGUGAGGAAAAAAAAAACACCCGAGAAAAAUCCAAGUGAGCUGUGGUGUGUAAGCGAACGCAAAGAAGAAAAAAAAACGAGAACGGAAAAAGUGUUGCUUCGAUUCAUCGGAAGUCGCUGCAAGAACACUUCAGCAGGUGUGCUUCGGUUUCGGAUCCGAUUGCAGUUUGAUUAUCGGUGUGUCCUUUCGAUUGCUGCCAGUGAUGACGAUGCGCCCCGUGUUGACGACGACACCGAUGAUGACGAUGAGUAAUCGAAACGUGCUACUGUGGAUAAAUUAAUUGUGCUUCGAGCAGAGGCAGAAACAGUCGCACUAGCGAGACCAGAGAAGAGAAGCGAGAGAAGAGGACAAACAGUGAGGUGAAACAGGACAUUGACGACGACGGAACGCAUUAAGCAUACGAUGAGCUAUCAGCAAGG
Molecule: long non-coding RNA, 2261 nt
Organism: Wyeomyia smithii (pitcher-plant mosquito)
Lineage: Eukaryota; Metazoa; Arthropoda; Insecta; Diptera; Culicidae
Exons: 2
Source: RefSeq, a predicted model, not a curated record